Molecule: long non-coding RNA, 501 nt
Organism: Perca fluviatilis (European perch)
Lineage: Eukaryota; Metazoa; Chordata; Actinopteri; Perciformes; Percidae
Exons: 4
Source: RefSeq, a predicted model, not a curated record
UCAGAGUGCUGACUGACAGAGCUUUAGUAACGCUGCCAGCUGCUUCUGACUGGCAGAACUCCAGCUCAGACCGGCCCUCUGCUCUGAUGUCAGACUGACAUUUCUAGGUUUGGAUGUAAAGGAGGGAGGAAGUGAUGAACACAGACAGCAGCAGCGUCUGUCAGAGUCUGCAGACGGAGGAGGACGUCUCUCUGACCUGAUCUGGACGGGACUUUAACAGGUCGCCGUUGCAAAUGAGAACCUGUUCUCAACGGCCUACCUGGAUGAGUGAGUUUCUCCACCCACAACGUGACAACUACCUUUGCAAAGUGAGAGCAGCUGGGAUGUUAUGCAGAAUGGAAAAGUUGUUUAGCCGGGCUGUGGAUGCAGAAACUUUACACCUUGCCCAGAGCAGCAGCAGAGACCAGACUCUCCUGAACCUGAACCAGCUGUGUGUCCAUCAAGAGCCACCAGUCCAUGGAUCCACCUUAAGUGUUUAAAGGACAGCUUCCUGCAGAGACU